This 450-nucleotide ribosomal RNA is filed under the name uncultured bacterium. RNAcentral's name for it is "bacterial SSU rRNA". It matches the Rfam family "Bacterial small subunit ribosomal RNA", at positions 32 to 507 of the family's 1533-position model. The record is from RNAcentral.
ACAACGCUGGCGGCAGGCCUAACACAUGCAAGUCGAGCGAAGCCUUCGGGCUUAGCGGCGGACGGGUGAGUAACGCGUGGGAACGUGCCCUUUGCUACGGAAUAGCCCCGGGAAACUGGGAGUAAUACCGUAUAAGCUCUACGGAGGAAAGAUUUAUCGGCAAAGGAUCGGCCCGCGUUGGAUUAGGUAGUUGGUGGGGUAAUGGCCUACCAAGCCGACGAUCCAUAGCUGGUUUGAGAGGAUGAUCAGCCACACUGGGACUGAGAUACGGGCCAGACUCCUACGGGAGGCAGCAGUAGGGAAUAUUGGGCAAUGGAUGCAAGUCUGACCCAGCCAUGCCGCGUGCAGGAUGAAGGCCCUCUGGGUUGUAAACUGCUUUUAUCUGGGAAGAAAAAGUCCAUGCGUGGAAAAUUGCCGGUACCAGAUGAAUAAGCACCGGCUAACUCCGUG